This 85-nucleotide transfer RNA is filed under the name Pseudomonas putida. Its description in RNAcentral is "tRNA-Leu". It matches the Rfam family "tRNA". From Rfam's summary of the family: Transfer RNA (tRNA) molecules are approximately 80 nucleotides in length. Their secondary structure includes four short double-helical elements and three loops (D, anti-codon, and T loops). The record is from RNAcentral. Lineage: Bacteria; Pseudomonadati; Pseudomonadota; Gammaproteobacteria; Pseudomonadales; Pseudomonadaceae. RNAcentral also lists the same sequence under 3 other names.
GCCCCGAUGGUGAAAUUGGUAGACACAUCGCACUUAAAAUGCGCCGCCGUAAGGUGUGCCGGUUCGAGUCCGGCUCGGGGCACCA